AGUGAACGCUGGCGGUAGGCCUAACACAUGCCAGUCGAACGGCAGCACAGUAAGAGCUUGCUCUUACGGGUGGCGAGUGGCGGACGGGUGAGGAAUACAUCGGAAUCUACUUUUUCGUGGGGGAUAACGUAGGGAAACUUACGCUAAUACCGCAUACGACCUACGGGUGAAAGCAGGGGAUCUUCGGACCUUGCGCGAUUGAAUGAGCCGAUGUCGGAUUAGCUAGUUGGCGGGGUAAAGGCCCACCAAGGCGACGAUCCGUAGCUGGUCUGAGAGGAUGAUCAGCCACACUGGAACUGAGACACGGUCCAGACUCCUACGGGAGGCAGCAGUGGGGAAUAUUGGACAAUGGGCGCAAGCCUGAUCCAGCCAUACCGCGUGGGUGAAGAAGGCCUUCGGGUUGUAAAGCCCUUUUGUUGGGAAAGAAAAGCAGCAGGCUAAUACCCCGCUGUCCUGACGGUACCCAAAGAAUAAGCACCGGCUAACUUCGUG
This 492-nucleotide ribosomal RNA is filed under the name uncultured bacterium. RNAcentral describes it as "partial 16S ribosomal RNA". It matches the Rfam family "Bacterial small subunit ribosomal RNA", at positions 29 to 507 of the family's 1533-position model. The record is from RNAcentral.